AAGUUGCCACAGCCCUCACUCAGGGCUUCAUGCACGCCAGGGCAGUCCUGGGUCAAUGGUCUCUUUCCCCUCCUCCUGUUGGAUAGAUGAAGAGGCCUGAGCAGGAAGGUGGUGGUUCCGUGGGGAAUCUUCAGUGACUGGAGUAUGUUGUAAGGAUGGUGAAUCGUCACUUGGCCAGCCAGGGUUUGGCAGUCAAGACAGAGAGCAGUGUCUGGGCCCACAGCAUGAGAGACUGCUGGACUUCAGUCUUCGGAGCAGGCAAGAACGGGGAGCUUCUGUGGAUUUCUAUUCCUGUCGCCUGUCACUGUGAACAGUGCCCAGUACUGCUGGUCAGUAAAUGUUUGCUAAAAUACUGAGCAACCAAGGAAGUGACUUCAGUUGAACUCUGUACCUGUUGUGUUCACUUCCUUUGCAACAUGCGUGACUAAUGGUUACUCCUUCUCUUGAAUGCUUCCAGAAGAGUAGCACUCACCACCUCAUGAGGAAAGGCACUGCAACUUUGGUCAAUGAUAUCUGUUAGAAAGAUCUUUUCCUAUAUUUAGAAGAGUGAUUCUCAUACCUGAGCAUGUAUGAGAAUCAGUGGGUUUGAGGUGGGCCCAAGAAUUUCCCUUUCUAACAAGUUCCCAGAAGAUGCUGAUGUGGCAGCUUCUAGCACAGUGCUUGGAAAUCCAUGAGUUUUCAAGAGGACAAUCUAAAGUGUUCCUUUGUUUUCCUUUACUUCCCCUCAUUCUCAAAUCCUAUGGGGAUGACACAGAGAACCACAAACAAAACAACACACACACACACACACACACACACACAUACACACACAGAGCACCCUUGUCCCUAGCUUUAUCCUCUGGGAUACACAGGACAAGCUCCUCCCUGUUCUAUGUGCAACUUUUAAAAUAUGUGCAACUUUUAAAAUACGUGGAUGUGGCUUUCACAUCUUCUUAGUCCCUCUUUAGCAGAUUUUUUACAAAACAAAUAAGCCAGGAAACCAUGGUCUGAAAGGAUUCCUGCUCUGGUGAGAUCCAAGACCCACAGCGAGGGCGAAGACAGAGGUCUUGCUGCAGCCCCGGCUUCCUCCACAUGGAGGUCCCAGGAAGACGGCAUAAGCCAUUGCCUCGAUAAUAACCUGCUUGCUAACUUCCAGCCAGUGCUUCCACAUUUUCAUGACUUCCAAAGGUUCAGAUGAGGAUGGUAGUUGUGAGUUUGGGAUGAAGUCUUCUGAGCGACUCCUAUGGCCCAGCCACAGGGACCUGGGGCUGGAGAGAGAGGACCAUCCCAGGCUGCAGCAGCCAACACCUGUGUGGAGGUGCAGGCCCGUGGCCCCCAGCUGUGGUGGACACAGCUGUGCUUCCUGAUAGCACCCUUCCCUGCACCUACACCGUGACAUCCUCCUCCUCAGCCUGAGUGCAGGCACCACCUGAAGGGUAUUUGGGGGAGGGCACCAGUGUCCCCAAGGUAGGAGCUAGUGCAUAUGGCCUCGUCCUUCAGAGGGACAAUUCUGAGAGGCAAUCUGCGUGCUUUCAAAGGCCCAGAAACACACCCUGUGUUGCCUCCUCCCUGUCUGACUCUUCCUCUUCCUCCUGCUCCCUGGGACCAGCUCCCAAACAAACUCAAUUUCUUCUCUCAGUCGAAGUUUGCUAAGUGAGUGAAGAGUCAAAUAAAUGAUGUUGCUUAACUCUCCCUCUGAUGUGUGAAUGUCCUCUAGGAACAAGCCUUUUGUAGGAGAACUGUAGGCCAGGGCUGAGUGCACCUGGGAUGCAGGAUCUCCAGGGGGGACCUAUCACUUGUGCGAAUUUAAACCUGCUCAGAGCUUAGGGCCCGGCUCUGCUCAAGAUGGGCAGAAAUAAAGAAGACUAAACAUUU
Molecule: long non-coding RNA, 1854 nt
Filed under: Homo sapiens (human)
Lineage: Eukaryota; Metazoa; Chordata; Mammalia; Primates; Hominidae
Description: non-protein coding lnc-SSTR4-13:1
Source: RNAcentral